GCGGGCGUGGUGGAAUUGGUAAACACGCCAGAUUUAGGAUCUGGUGCCUCGCGGCUUGGGGGUUCGAGUCCCUCCGCCCGCACCA
RNAcentral lists this transfer RNA (85 nucleotides) under Pseudodesulfovibrio senegalensis. RNAcentral's name for it is "Desulfovibrio senegalensis tRNA-Leu". It matches the Rfam family "tRNA". From Rfam's summary of the family: Transfer RNA (tRNA) molecules are approximately 80 nucleotides in length. Their secondary structure includes four short double-helical elements and three loops (D, anti-codon, and T loops). Lineage: Bacteria; Pseudomonadati; Thermodesulfobacteriota; Desulfovibrionia; Desulfovibrionales; Desulfovibrionaceae. The record is from RNAcentral.